GACGAACCGUCCAAACGUUAUUCGGAAUCACUGGGCUUACAGAGUUCGUAGGCGGUCUGGAAAGUUGGGUGUGAAAUCCCUCGGCUCAACCGAGGAACUGCGCUCAAAACUACCCGACUCGAGGGAGAUAGAGGAAAGCGGAACUGAUGGUGGAGCGGUGAAAUGCGUUGAUAUCAUCAGGAACACCGGCGGCGAAGGCGGCUUUCUGGGUCUUACCUGACGCUGAGGAACGAAAGCUAGGGGAGCGAACGGG
Molecule: ribosomal RNA, 253 nt
Filed under: uncultured bacterium
Lineage: Bacteria
Description: partial 16S ribosomal RNA
Rfam family: Bacterial small subunit ribosomal RNA
Source: RNAcentral